AGUGUGAAGAUCAUGGUUUUCAACAUGCCUAUCGCCUCAAGAGGCAGCUCAAGUGGUAGCACAUCUUACUAGCUCAACGAAUGUCGUCAAAGUAUGUUAAGAUAUCAGGUUGUUUUUAGCUUAAACCCGUAGAGUUUGUUGAAAGUUUUAGUAGUUGCUAAUUUAAGAGAUGAGUUUUUUUUUUCUUUUUUUUUUUUGUGCUUUUGAAGGAAAUAAAGAUGCAUGAAGUUGCAAGUUAUAAGAAUAGUUAGUAUAAAUAAAGUUGAUUAUCUUUAUUAUAUGUUGUGCAAUUAAUGUUUUUGUUAUGUAGGAUGUUUUUAGUAAUAUUUCACACAAGAAUGAAGCUUUAUUUCAGUUUACAAUUGCAUUCUCUUUUCAUUUUGCGCACUAACAAUUAAAAUUGUCUUUAACAAUGUGCAUUUUUAGAUCUUCUGCAAC
Molecule: long non-coding RNA, 438 nt
Filed under: Salvia miltiorrhiza (redroot sage)
Lineage: Eukaryota; Viridiplantae; Streptophyta; Magnoliopsida; Lamiales; Lamiaceae
Description: long non-coding RNA (SMIL_LNC014132)
Source: RNAcentral